RNAcentral lists this ribosomal RNA (1451 nucleotides) under uncultured organism. RNAcentral describes it as "partial small subunit ribosomal RNA". It matches the Rfam family "Bacterial small subunit ribosomal RNA". The record is from RNAcentral.
GACGAACGCUGGCGGCGUGCUUAACACAUGCAAGUCGAACGGAAAGGCCCUGCUUUUGUGGGGUGCUCGAGUGGCGAACGGGUGAGUAACACGUGAGUAACCUGCCCUUGACUUUGGGAUAACUUCAGGAAACUGGGGCUAAUACCGGAUAGGAGCUCCUGCUGCAUGGUGGGGGUUGGAAAGUUUCGGCGGUUGGGGAUGGACUCGCGGCUUAUCAGCUUGUUGGUGGGGUAGUGGCUUACCAAGGCUUUGACGGGUAGCCGGCCUGAGAGGGUGACCGGCCACAUUGGGACUGAGAUACGGCCCAGACUCCUACGGGAGGCAGCAGUGGGGAAUAUUGCACAAUGGGCGGAAGCCUGAUGCAGCAACGCCGCGUGCGGGAUGACGGCCUUCGGGUUGUAAACCGCUUUCGCCUGUGACGAAGCGUGAGUGACGGUAAUGGGUAAAGAAGCACCGGCUAACUACGUGCCAGCAGCCGCGGUGAUACGUAGGGUGCGAGCGUUGUCCGGAUUUAUUGGGCGUAAAGGGCUCGUAGGUGGUUGAUCGCGUCGGAAGUGUAAUCUUGGGGCUUAACCCUGAGCGUGCUUUCGAUACGGGUUGACUUGAGGAAGGUAGGGGAGAAUGGAAUUCCUGGUGGAGCGGUGGAAUGCGCAGAUAUCAGGAGGAACACCAGUGGCGAAGGCGGUUCUCUGGGCCUUUCCUGACGCUGAGGAGCGAAAGCGUGGGGAGCGAACAGGCUUAGAUACCCUGGUAGUCCACGCUGUAAACGGUGGGUACUAGGUGUGGGGUCCAUUCCACGGGUUCCGUGCCGUAGCUAACGCUUUAAGUACCCCGCCUGGGGAGUACGGCCGCAAGGCUAAAACUCAAAGGAAUUGACGGGGCCCCGCACAAGCGGCGGAGCAUGCGGAUUAAUUCGAUGCAACGCGUAGAACCUUACCUGGGUUUGACAUGGAUCGGGAGUGCUCAGAGAUGGGUGUGCCUCUUUUGGGGUCGGUUCACAGGUGGUGCAUGGCUGUCGUCAGCUCGUGUCGUGAGAUGUUGGGUUAAGUCCCGCAACGAGCGCAACCCUUGUUCACUGUUGCCAGCACGUUAUGGUGGGGACUCAGUGGAGACCGCCGGGGUCAACUCGGAGGAAGGUGGGGAUGACGUCAAGUCAUCAUGCCCCUUAUGUCCAGGGCUUCACGCAUGCUACAAUGGCUGGUACAGAGAGUGGCGAGCCUGUGAGGGUGAGCGAAUCUCGGAAAGCCGGUCUCAGUUCGGAUUGGGGUCUGCAACUCGACCUCAUGAAGUCGGAGUCGCUAGUAAUCGCAGAUCAGCAACGCUGCGGUGAAUACGUUCCCGGGGCUUGUACACACCGCCCGUCAAGUCAUGAAAGUUGGUAACACCCGAAGCCGGUGGCCUAACCGUUGUGGGGGAGCCGUCGAAGGUGGGACUGGUGAUUAGGACUAAAU